This is a long non-coding RNA of Equus quagga, 4752 nucleotides long. RefSeq lists it as uncharacterized. The transcript is spliced from 3 exons. NCBI's taxonomy places the organism in Eukaryota, Metazoa, Chordata, Mammalia, Perissodactyla, Equidae. The record is from RefSeq and is a predicted model, not a curated record.
GCCUGCUCUCUGCUGUGCCGCCCUGAGCAGCGUGAGAGGACCGGCUCACAGUGAGGGACUUACUGGCACCCCGGGUUGAGGUUUGCUACCAUCUCCAAAGUGAGCUCCCCGCGAGGCGCCGGGGCCUUCGCUGACGGGGCCCCAGCCUGGCAGAUGCGGUGAGGGGAGCAGGGGCUUCCCCGGGGUGGGGGGGGAAGGGAGGGUGGAGUUCCUGGCAGAGCUGGGCAAUUCUCCAUGUUCUCCCGGCUCCAUCUCGCUGUCCUCCCACCGGCCUCUAAUCUCCUCCAGCUCCUUCUGCUCCUUCCUCCCCGGAGAGGCACAGACAUCCUCCCCCUCAUCGUCCCUUUGUCUUGAUCUCUGAAUCACCAGGAAGGGGCCGAAGAGCUUCAUGUCCUCGUUUACAGAAUUUGGCACCUCUUGGCAGCGUCACCAGAAACGCUAGUGCGUCAGGCAAGGGGCCUUCAAGAGGAAGGGAGAGUGAUCGCCUGGAGGCAGGGCUCCGGGAGCCCAUGUGAGGGCUCAGAAACUGAGGCACUCAGAAACCGCUGCUCACGUGCCCCUCCUGGCCUGGCUUGGCUCUCUGACGGAAAGGAGCUCAGAUUCCCCCGGAAGGCGUCCCACUUCCACCCCGGCACCUCCAGGCCUCGGACGACCUGAUGGAGCAGGCUCCAGCCCCUGCUGCCUCAGUUUCCCCGCCUGUGGCUGCUCUCUGGACACGCUGUCCUAACGGAGAAGGCGAGGAAGGACGAAGCAGUUCAUCCACUCAAUCAAUGGUUCGUUCAUCCGUUCGAUCAAUCGCUCGAUCACUCAGCGUUCCUCGCGCUCCUGCUGGGCGGGUGGUGAGCUGAAGCAGGAGCAGACGGCCCUGCCCGCCAAUGCUCACGGUCCAGGGCAGCCUGCAGGCUUCGGUUUCCAUCACUGUUUGAGCAGAAAUGUCCCCGUGAAAGGGUCGGCCACUGAGCAGAGCAGGACCGAGUGUUGGGGCCACUCUACUCAGCCCUCGAUGCCCAAGGACACAUCUCCGUUUUUGUUUAUUUACGUGACCUUUGUGCCCCUGCCUAGUGCCCAGAGGAGUUUGAGGCCUUACGUAAAAGGCAAAGAAAGAUGAAACCCUGAACAGCACGCAGACGAGCCGGCAGACAGAUGCACCUCAUGGACCACAAAUCUGCCUGCCACCGGCCGUCCCUCGCUCCCCUCCCCAUCCCAGAGAGGACGGUGCAGGGAGAGGCGCCGCCGCUGACCGAUUCCCAGACCCCUCCCUGCUGACAGGGGCUGCCUGGCAGGGACCUUUGAUCCCUUCAUGGCGAGCCAGGGUGUCUGCGCUUGAAAGAACGCCUGUGCACAUGGGAGGGCGGGAAAGAGCCAGACAGAGCCAGCAUGCAGAGCCGUGCCCCCGGGAGGGAAAGCAAGGCUCAUGAGCCUUGCUGAAGCCACCCGGCCGCAGGAACUCUCCAGACCUUUCUGGAAUGCUCACGAGGCACCCACGAUGGGUGGGGUCCUGGGUGUGAUGCUGAGGACGGUCGGUAAGGCAGGUGUGCGACGCAGUACGGUAACCGCUGUGUUGGGCAGCAGCUACCUUGGGGUGGGGGUGUCUUGAAGGCUCAGCUGAGUUCAGAGCCAGGUUGCCCUGGGGCCCUGAGACCCAGCCUGCCCAGCACCUGCUCCCUUCCCCUUUGGUGUGAGCACCCCAAUCCCCUCCUCAGACUCGCUCUUCCCUGGCGUGAGCUCUGGGAUGGACCCGAGUUGGGGGAUGAAGAGGCAAGGGGACCAGCUCUGCGACCUCCUGGGAGAGGAAGUGUCUGCAGGGCAGGGGCAGCGGGGACGGGAAGGGGCACGGGGAGUGGGACAGAUGUGUGUGCUGAGAACGCAGACAGCUACUCCUCUGAAGUCACUUAAGCGUUACAUUUUCACUGUUUCAAACCCAUCGGUCAGGAGCUGCUGCUGGGUCGUAUUAUUAUUUUUCUCCUUCUAAAGGUCAGCGACUCAUUGCAGCUGAUUAUGUCCCUGAACUGUGUAGACAGGCAGACCCUGCUCACCGACGUCCCCAUAUCACCCAGCUCCGGGAGACACGAAAUCUCCCCAAGACUGUCCGUCACUCACUUGCAGCUGGCACCUGGAAAUGAAAGCGACUCUUCCCGUGUUCCCAAUCAAUGUCCGCCUGCCAUCUCUGUCGAUAACUGCCGGGCGGGCCAGUCCUUUCCCUGUUGGGGAGGCACCGGGGUCAGCCUGAAGAUGCUCUGAGGGAAAAGGCGGCCGCUUGGUUCAGAGCCUCCUGGCUGGGCUGGAAUUAAGUUGGCUCUUUCUCUAAUGAAACUGACUCCAGGGGUCCCUGUGUGCCAGAGUCGAUGGCUCUCCGGAGAAGCAAUGAUGACAGUAAUAUCGAGGCCGUGCACACCUGCAGCCUCACGUUCCUCGGUGCUUUCCAGGGGCUUCGAGCCCCGUAGGAAGCAGUGGCUGCUGGGCGCACAGUAGGGGUGCAGUGAAGGCUGAGGGGACAGCCCCCGGCGCUGCCUUCCCCAUUCUUCCGACGGAGACACCGAGGCAUCGAGAGGCUUAGAAACUCACUCGUGGUUCCCGAGGACCUCAUCAUGGUCCUUGUGUUUGCCUGGGGCAGAGGCUGGCCUCUCGUGGGAAUUGACUGGAAGGGUUAGGGGCUCUCCCUGUGCGCAGAGCUCUAAACCGGAGUCCUGAGUCCCAAUCCCCAGGACAGAGAUUCUGACGGGGCCAGCCAGGGGCAGGCACACAUUCCUGUCCGCUUGGCUGUCACCGAGGGGUACGGGGCCUCACAAAGAGAGACUGUCCACCCACGAGCCUGGACAGGUGAGGGGCCAUCCCCUAAGAACGGGGGUGUCUCUUGGGCCACUGCAGCUCAAUACCCCAAAGCAGACCCUGGAUUUGGGAGUUGCUUCCCUUGUUAGCUCAGAUUUGCUGACGGGCGAGGGUGGGAGUGAGCAGAUGCGGCCAUCAGAAAUUGGGUCGGAAAGCCCACCCGGAAGGGUCAGGGGACCUGUUUUCUCUGAGAAGCUGGACAGGGAGCCUCGUGGAGCUGGGAAACAACCCUUUUUGGCAGCCGCACGUGGGAGGGUUGUGCUCGGUGGCCCACGGGUGGGUGCCGGUAGCCUUGCUCUGGGCCCCGGAACUCUGUGUCCCUGAUCUCCACUCCCGAGGCUGUGUGUAGCUCACACCUUGGUGACUGCUCAGCCCCUCACUGAGGCCACAGCCCCCACCCCACAUAGGGUCGGUCCAUCAAAAUCACACCCAAGUUUCUCAAGGACCAUUGUCGGCCGGAAGCAUUCUGUGGUCCUCCAUCAUAACAAUCUUCCUCUGGCAAGCAUCCUUCGAUGCCUGCGUCUCCUUUUCCUCAUAGUUACUAUGGCUUGUCUUAUCUUCCUCCUCCCCCAACCCCAAGUCAAAGGGAGGAGAGAAGAUUUAAAUUGAAUACAAGAUUGGAUUUUUAAACUGGACUGCCCUGAUUGUGACCAGAAAUUGAUGGGAUCUGCCCAAGAUGUCAUUAAAGGAUGCUGUGUUCUGAUCUGGCUGCAAAACCAGAAAACCCGUAAAUAACAUUGGCUAAAACAAGAAAGAAAUUGAUUUUUCUUUCUUGAGAAGAAAUGGCUGGAAGUGGGAGUUGAGGGCUGAUGUGGGAGUUCUGCUCCAUGAAGCUCUCAGGGACCUGGGCUCCUUCCAGUUUUCUACUUCACCAUCCUUAGAAGGUGACCCUUGUCCUCGUGGUCCAAGAUGGCUGCUAGAGCUCCAGUCAUCACAACAAUGUUCUAAGAGGUAGGAUGCAGGAAAGGAAGACUCCUUUUUAAGAAAUAUUCCCAGGCAUAUUCCACAACACUCCCUCUUAUGUCUUAUGGGCCAGAAUUUGGUCACAUGACGAAACCUAGCUAUAAGGAACACUGGGGAGCAUAGUCUUUUAACUGAUGGCAGUGGGCAAUGGAAUUCUAUUACUAAGUAGAAGUAAAGACUGGUAUUGGGGGAAAUAGCAGUUUCUGCUUGAGAUAGGAAAGGACACCUGCCAGAGUUCUUGGAAAGCAGUGAUUGGAACAAUACACCUGCUUCAUGUUUAUUCCCGCGGACACUGGGACAGAGGGGUUUAAUCUACGCUGGGAGGUUAUGAGUAGGGUUCCCAGACAAAAUACAGACAGCCACCUAACAAAUAAUUUUUUAGUGUAAGUAUGUUCUGAAUAUUACACAGGCCAUACUCACACUAAAAAAUUAUUUGUUGUUUGAAGUUCAAAUUGAACUGGGCGUCCUGUGUUUUCCUCUGCUCAGUCUGGCAAUCCUAGUUAUGAAGGGGGCUGGGAAGCCCUGGGGAGGGGGGAAGGGGUCCGCGUGGAGGUGUGCCGACGCUGAGGCAGGGGCGUCGCGGUCCUGAGAGGGGCAUCACCUCGUCCGUCCCUCUCGGAAGCUUGGUGGACUUCUCGCUGGCGCUGCUAUGAAUCCUCAUAGUUCCUCCACAGCCAGAAAUCUCGGAGGCAGCGCGCUCAUCAAACCGGGCGGAUCAAUUACACGGGCCUCCUCUUCCCCGGAGUUAUGUGCUAUUCCUGCUCACGAGUGAUCCGCGGAAAUGUCACAGACUCUGCUGAUGAAUUACAUCUGUAGUUACAUUUUCUUAAGAUUUAUCCUCCUCCUGGUUUCUUAGAGGAUUUGUGGAUAUUUCAUAAAAUUCAUCCCAAGGGAAAAUAACAGGACAAUUAAAAAGCAAAAAACAGAACAAAAGCUUCUUAGAAGAGGGAGAGCGGCGGA